This 535-nucleotide ribosomal RNA is filed under the name Trigonopterus sp. 906 AR-2022a. RNAcentral's name for it is "partial large subunit ribosomal RNA". It matches the Rfam family "Bacterial large subunit ribosomal RNA", at positions 1819 to 2625 of the family's 2925-position model. Lineage: Eukaryota; Metazoa; Arthropoda; Insecta; Coleoptera; Curculionidae. The record is from RNAcentral.
GUCUUGUUGAUUAUAAUUUCAAGUCUGACCUGCCCAGUGAGGAGUUAAACGGCCGCGGUAUUUUGACCGUGCAAAGGUAGCAUAAUCAUUAGUUUUUUAAUUGGAAGCUUGUAUGAAAGGUUUGAUGAAAAAAAGACUGUCUCUGUAAAAAUUUAUUAGAAUUUUAUUUUUAAGUUAAAAAGCUUAAAUUUAAAUGGAAGACGAGAAGACCCUAUAGAGUUUUAUAUUUGGUAAAUAGCUAAGCUUGAGGGUUAAGAAGUUUAUUUAUUUAAGAAAGUAUUUUGUUGGGGUGAUAGAAAAAUUUAUUAAACUUUUUUUUUAUUAAACAUUUAUUUAUGGAUAAGUGAUCCUAGUUUGUAGAUUAUAAGAUUAAAUUACCUUAGGGAUAACAGCGUAAUUUUUUUUAGAGUUCUUAUCGAAAAAAAAGAUUGCGACCUCGAUGUUGGAUUAAAGUUAAUUUUCGGUGUAGAAGCUGGAAAAUUAGGUCUGUUCGACCUUUAAAAUUUUACAUGAUCUGAGUUUAAACCGGCGUGAG